This 780-nucleotide ribosomal RNA is filed under the name uncultured bacterium. RNAcentral describes it as "bacterial SSU rRNA". It matches the Rfam family "Bacterial small subunit ribosomal RNA", at positions 8 to 796 of the family's 1533-position model. The record is from RNAcentral.
AGAGUUUGAUCAUGGCUCAGAAUCAACGCUGGCGGCGUGCCUAACACAUGCAAGUCGAGCGAGAAAGGGGCUUCGGCCCUGAGUAAAGCGGCGCACGGGUGAGUAACACGUGGGUAAUCUGCCCUAGAGUGGGGAAUAACACCGGGAAACCGGUGCUAAUACCGCAUACGAUCAUGAUGUCUUUGGAUGUUGUGAUGAAAGGAGCAAUCCGCUCUUGGAGGAGCCCGCGGCUGAUUAGCUAGUUGGUGAGGUAAUGGCUCACCAAGGCUACGAUCAGUAUCCGGUCUGAGAGGACGGUCGGACACACUGGAACUGAGACACGGUCCAGACUCCUACGGGAGGCAGCAGUGGGGAAUUUUUCGCAAUGGGGGCAACCCUGACGAAGCAACGCCGCGUGGAUGAUGAAGUCUCUUGGGACGUAAAAUCCUUUCGACGGGGACGAAACCGCAAGGUUGACGGUACCCGUAGAAGAAGCCCCGGCUAACUCCGUGCCAGCAGCCGCGGUAAUACGGGGGGGGCAAGCGUUGUUCGGAAUUACUGGGCGUAAAGGGCGCGUAGGCGGUUUGCUAAGUUGAAUGUGAAAACUCUGGGCUUAACCCAGAGCCUGCAUUCAAUACUGGCAGGCUAGAGUUCUGGAGGGGAUAGCGGAAUUCCUGGUGUAGCGGUGAAAUGCGUAGAUAUCAGGAGGAACACCGGUGGCGAAGGCGGCUAUCUGGACAGAGUCUGACGCUGAGGCGCGAAAGCUAGGGGAGCAAACAGGAUUAGAUACCCUAGUAGUCC